AAAAAAAAAAAAAAAAAAAAAAAAAAAAAGUGUAAGGUGAAGUAGUGUAGCAAGUGCUGAUGUAAAAGCUGCAGCAAUUUGGCCAGAGGAUCAGGCUAAGACCAUUGAUGAAGAUGAAACAGGCUUAUAUUGAAGAAGAUGCCAUUUAGGAGUUUAAUAGCUAGAGAGAGGAAGUUGACGCCUAGCUUAAAGCUUCAAAGGAUAUGCUGACUCCCUUUUUAGGGGCAAAUGCAGAUGAUGACUUCCAGUUGAAGCCAAUGUUCCUUUACCAUUCUGAAAAUCCUAGGGCCUGUAAGAAUUAUCAAAAUCUACUCUGCCUGUGCUCUAUAAAUGAAACAACAAAGCCAGGAUGACAGUACAUUUGUUUACAGCAAGGUUUAAUGAAUAUUUUAAGCCCACUGUUGAAACCUACUGCUCAGAAAAAAAGAUUCCUCUCAAAAUAUUUUUACUCAUUGACAAUGCACAUGGUCACCCAAGAACUCUAACGGAGAUUAAUAAGGAAAUUAAUGUUGUUUUUAUGCAUGCUAGCACAACAUCUAAUCUGCAGCCCCUGGAUCAAAGAGUAGUUUCAACUUUCCAGCCUUGUUACGUAAGGAAUACAAAAGAUUCACCAAUUUAGAUGUCAUUGAAAACAUAUGUGAUUCACAGGAGAAGGUCAAAAUAGCAACAUUAACAGGAUUUGGAAGGCGUUGGUUCAACCCUCAUGGAUGAUUUUGAGGGUUUCAAGAUUUCGCUGGAGGAAAUAACUGCAGAUAUGGUGGAAACAGCAGGAGAACUGGAAUUAGAAGUAUGGCCUGAAGAUGGGACUGAAUUUCUGCAAUCUCAUGGUAAAAUGUGAAUGGAUGAAGAGUUGCUUCUUAUAGAUGAGCAAAUAAAGUGAUUUAUUGAGAUGGAAUCAACUCCUGGUGAAGAUAUUGUGAACAUUGUUGAAAUGACGACAAAGGAUAUAGAAUAUUUCAUAAACUUAAUUGAUAUACCAGUAGCAGGGUUUGAGAGGAUUAAUUAGUUUUGAAAGAAGUUCUACUAUGGAUCAAAUGGUAUCAAACAGCAUCACAUGCUACAGAGAGAUAUUUCUUGACAGGAGGAGUCACUCAAUGUGGUAAACUUCAUUGUUUUCUAUUUGAAGAAAUUGCCACAGCCAACCCAACCUCAAUAGAUUACAGUAGAAUGUGAACAUAACUAUUACAUAUACUAGAAAACCAAAAACUGUCUGUGAUUCACUUGAUUGCUAUAUUGGCGUUGUCGCCGUGAUCUGAAAUGGAACUCGCAAUAUCUUUUAAGUAUUUUAAGUAUUUUGUGUAUGUAAUAAUACAAAUAUUGGGGGGGUAUUUAUCAGAGUAGUUUCAGUGGUAUCUCUAAAGAGACAGGCAGAUUUGAAUAGCUGAAAGAAUGUGGAUAUAGUAAGUAAAGAAAUAACUUUCAAAAGUUUAGCUAUAUAAAGGAGAAAGGUUAGCAACUAGAGGAUAAGUUAUUUUUGAUGAGGUGAAAGUUGAGCAUAUUAAAAGCCAUGAGGGGGCCGGGCACAGUGGCUCACACACACCUGUAAUCCCAGCUACUAAGGAGCCUAAGGCAGGAGGAUGUCUUGAGGCCAGGAGAUUGCGGCUGCAGUGAGCCAUGAUGGUGUCACUGCAUUGUAGCCUGGGUGACAGAGUGAGACCCAGUUGCACACACACACACACACACAAAAGCAUUAGAGAGGGAUGCUUUAGAAAAUAAAGUAUUGAAGGUAAAGACGGGGGAGGGGAUGAUCUUUAAAAAGUUAUCUGAGGGCCAGGCGUGGUGGCUCAUGCCUGUAAUCCUAGCACUUUGGGAGGCUGAGGCAGGCAGAUCACUUGAGGUCGGGAGUUCGAGACCAGCCUGGCCAACAUGGUGAAACGCCGUCUCUACUAAACCCAAGAGGUGGAGGUGGUUACAGUGAGCCAAGAUGGGGCCACUGCACUCCAGCCUGGUUAACAGAGUGAGACUCCAUCUCAAAAAAAAAAAAAAAAUGUUAUCGUGAAAGCAGAAGAGAAUAAUACCUGGCUUAUACUUGAGAAAGGUAUUAGCCUUACAGAAGAAGAAAGAAACCCCUUACAAUGUGACAGAAGAAGAUACACAUAUGGAUGCAGACAAAGAUGUAAGUUUGUUUGCAGAAAGAAAGUGAGGUCUUUCUCACUAUUGUAAGGGAGAAAGGAAAGGAGUAGGAAGUUGAAGCGACUGGUAAAGGUUUAAAUCACUGCUAUGAUGAAUAUGAAAGAACUGAGUAGAGAUGCAUAGGGGAGUUAUAGGCACUGGAGAAUCAGUUGAGAUUAAAGAAUCUGGAUGUAUGUGGCAUCAGACUACAUGAUUAUGAGAUAUCUCCAGCAGUGAUCAUGUGGUCAACAAACAAGAUUUAGAAAAAAAGACUUUUCUGUUUUAUUUCAACUAUUUGGCAUGUCAGCUUUACUUAGAAUAACAGAAGUAU
RNAcentral lists this long non-coding RNA (2443 nucleotides) under Homo sapiens (human). RNAcentral describes it as "non-protein coding lnc-DCAF12L2-5:1". Lineage: Eukaryota; Metazoa; Chordata; Mammalia; Primates; Hominidae. The record is from RNAcentral.